CUGGCCGUAAACGAUGGAUACUAGGUGUAGGAGGUAUCGACCCCUUCUGUGCCGGAGUUAACGCAAUAAGUAUCCCGCCUGGGGAGUACGAUCGCAAGAUUGAAACUCAAAGGAAUUGACGGGGGCCCGCACAAGCGGUGGAGUAUGUGGUUUAAUUCGACGCAACGCGAAGAACCUUACCAGGGCUUGACAUUGAGUGAAAGGGCUAGAGAUAGCUCCCUUAUCUUCGGAUAACACAAAAACAGGUGG
RNAcentral lists this ribosomal RNA (249 nucleotides) under uncultured bacterium. Its description in RNAcentral is "partial 16S ribosomal RNA". It matches the Rfam family "Bacterial small subunit ribosomal RNA", at positions 796 to 1041 of the family's 1533-position model. The record is from RNAcentral.